Gasterosteus aculeatus aculeatus (three-spined stickleback) is the source of this 1946-nucleotide long non-coding RNA. Lineage: Eukaryota; Metazoa; Chordata; Actinopteri; Perciformes; Gasterosteidae. The record is from Ensembl.
GGUUCAUUGAGUUUCUGAUUGACAGCGUGGGAGAGAAGAUGUCGUCUGUCGCCCAGCAGCAGAGAGAACGAACAGACAUUCGUAACUCUGGAGUUGCACUUGACUGCGUCAUUAGAGACGCUCACACGUCCCGAUGAACUUGGGGUUUGAAUUUGCUUUAUUUGUAGAGAAUUGAACUUGUUUGUGCUUUGAGUUGCCUGACAUCAUUUUUUAGAAGCAUUCAUGUUUUAAUCAAAAUGUUCCAUAUCGGAAACAUGUUCAUUGACUAAAUAUUCUCUUCUUCUUCCGCCUGAUGUCUGAUUACAGGAGGAAGUGAGUCAACAAUUGAAAUCAGGCUUAAAAUGUCGACUGAAACCUUGGUGUGUCAUUAAAUACACAAACGCUCAUUAACUCAAGAUCAUUGUUGUUUCACUUCAUUCAAGUCAACGAGUAAUAAAGAACAUGUGAUUCUCUUUGGUCUGAAGAAAACAAGACGGAUUCAUUUGGUUUUAUUUCUAUUAAAAUUUAUUUUCAUUAAAAUAAUAAACAGACGACAUAUUUAACAAUAAUAAUAACACAAUCAUUGGGAAAACAUCUGAAGCAGUUCCUGAGAAGAGAGAAAAGAAGAAAAGUUAUUAACAUGUUAAUGUUGUUAGUGUGUCUGUGUGUACAUCUAAUUGUUAGUGUGUCUGUGUGUACAUCUAAAUGUUAGUGUGUCUGUGUGUACAUCUAAAUAUUAUUAUGUCUUUGUGUACAUCUAAAUAUUAGUGUGUGUCUUUGUUUAGUACCAAAUGUUAGUGUGUCUGUGUGUACAUCUAAAUGUUAGUGUGUCCCGAUGACGUGGCGUCCUGAUGGCGUCCUGUUGGUCUGCAGACAAGGAGAAGAGACGUGAGGAGGAUCAUCAGGAUGUGUCCGUGUGUACAUCUAAUUGUUAUUGUGUCUUUGUGUACAUCUAAAUAUUAGUGUGUGUCUUUGUUUAGAACCAAAUGAUAGUGUGUCUGUGUGUAUAUCUAAUUGUUAUUGUGUCUUUGUGUACAUCUAAAUAUUAGUGUGUCAUUGUUUAGAACCAAAUGAUAGUGUGUCUGUGUGUACAUCUAAUUGUUAUUGUGUCUUUGUGUACAUCUAAAUAUUAGUGUGUGUCAUUGUUUAGAACCAAAUGAUAGUGUGUCUGUGUGUACAUCUAAUUGUUAGGCGUCCUGAUGGCGUCCCGAUGACGUCCCGAUGACGUGGUGUCCUGAUGGCAUCCCGAUGACGUGGUGUCCUGAUGGCGUCCCGAUGACGUGGCGUCCUGAUGGCGUCCUGUUGGUCUGCAGACAAGGAGAAGAGACGUGAGGAGGAUCAUCAGGAUGUGUCUAUCUGGAUUUGCUCCUGAGGGGUUGACGCGGCGUCCUGAUGGCGUCCUGAUGGAAUCCUGAUGGCGUCCCGAUGACGUGGCGUCCUGAUGGUGUCCUGAUGACGUGGCGUCCUGAUGGCGUCCUGUUGGUCUGCAGACAAGGAGAAGAGACAUCUGGAUUUGCUCCUGAGGGGUUGACGUGGCGUCUGAUGGCGUCCCGUUGGUCUGCAGACAAGGAGAAGAGACGUGAGCAGGAUCAUCAGGAUGUGAGACAAGAUUCAUAGAUCCAAUUAUUUUAAUUUGAUGCACAUUUUAAUUAUUUCAUGUUUGUAUGGAUGUGUAAAUCUACAUUAUAUAUUUGUGGUUGUUAAACUGUAUUUCUGUAUUUGCUUUUUAUGUUUAGCUAGUCUCUGUGCAUACCAAUAUGUUAGUGCGUCUCUGUGUAAGUACUUUUUACAUUACAUUACAUUUCAUUUAGCUGACGCUUUUAUCCAAAGCGACUUACAAUAAGUGCAUUCAACCAUAGGGUACAAACUCAGAAGUGCAAUUUCCUCAAAUAACUUUUAUAUGUUAGUGCGUCUCUGUGUAAGUACUUUUAUAUGUUAAUGCGUCUCUGUGUACAUCUACAUGACAA